AGGGCGUAUGGUGGAUGCCUUGGCAGACAGUACCGAUGAAGGACGUUUGAGGCUGCGAUAUGCCUCGGGGAGCCGCCAGCAGGGCUUUGAUCCGAGGAUUUCCGAAUGGGGGAACCCGCCGGCCGUCAUGGGCCGGCACCGCGUUCGCGCGGGGGGUACGCAGGGAAGUGAAACAUCUCAGUACCUGCAGGAAAGGAUGUUCCGUGAGUAGUGGCGAGCGAAAGCGGAUCAGGCCAAACCGCGCGCGUGUGACAGGCGCCAGCCGUUGCGCGCGUGGUGUUGAGGGAGCGUGUGUCCGGGUCCUGGCGGGCCCGGCCGGAGUGAUAAAACGGCGUGUGAGGCGAACCGGAUUGAAUGCCGGGCCGCAGAGGGUGAUGGCCCCGUAGCCGAACGCGCGUCGUCUCCGGAUCGUGUCUCCCAAGUAGCGCGGGACUCGUGGAAUCCCGUGUGAAUCCGCCCCGACCGUGGGGUAAGCCUAGAUAUACCUGUCUGACCGAUAGCGAACUAGUACCGUGAGGGAAAGGUGAAAAGCACCCCGGGAGGGGAGUGAAACAGUCUCUGAAACCGUGCGCUUACAAACCGUCGGAGCCUUUCGGGGUGACGGCGUGCCUAUCGAAAAAUGAGUCUGCGAGUCAGUGGCACGUGGCGAGCGUAACCCGUGUGGGGUACGCGUAGCGAAGGCGAGUCUCAAAAGGCGUUUGAGUCGCGUGUCCUGGACCCGAAGCGGGAUGAUCUAGCCCUGAGCAGGUUGAAGCGCGGGUAAGACCGCGUGGAGGACCGAACCCACCUGGGUUGAAAACCGGGGGGAUGACUUGGGGCUAGGGGUGAAAGGCCAAUCAAAUUCCGUGAUAGCUGGUUCUCUCCGAAAUGCAUUUAGGUGCAGCGUCGGGGAUUACGUCCGGGGGGUAGAGCUACUGGAUGCUUGAGGGCCCGUAUCGGGUACCGACAGCAGCCAAACUCCGAAUACCCGUGACGCGUAUCCCGGCAGUGAGUCGGCGGGGGAUAAGCUCCGUCGUCGAAAGGGAGACAGCCCAGAUCGUCGUCUAAGGUCCCCAAGCGCGUGCUAAGUGGGAAAGGAUGUGGAGUCGCAUAGACAGCCAGGAGGUUGGCUCAGAAGCAGCCACCCUUGAAAGAGUGCGUAACAGCUCACUGGUCUAGUGGUUCCGCGCCGACAAUGUAGCGGGGCUCAAGCACGCCACCGAAGACGCGGCAGCGUCCGUUUGGAUGCUGGGUAGGAGAGCGUCCCCAUCGGGGCGAAGCGGCGGCGCAAGCCUGCCGUGGACCGUUGGGGAGUGAGAAUGCAGACAUGAGUAGCGAGAGGCGGGUGCGAAUCCCGCCCGCUGGAUGACCAAGGGUUCCGGGGCCACGUUCGUCGUCCCCGGGUGAGUCGGGUCCUAAGGCGAGGCCGACAGGCGUAGUCGAAUGGAUGAACGGGCUGAUAUUCCCGUACCGGCAGCGAACCGAAACAACCGAGGCCUGGGGCGCUAACCUCCGGGUCCGUGCCGUCUCCCCUUUCGGGGGGUCGCGGCGCGGGCGCGUUGGGAUCCCCCCUCGUAGUAGGUCAGCGCAGGAGUGACGCAUCAGGGCAGCCGGCCGCGGAGGUGGUUUUCCGUGGUCAAGCGUUCGAGCCCGUCCCGCAGGCAAAUCCGCGGGGCGUCGGGGCGAGGCGUGAUGAUGGGGGCCUUACGGCCCGAAUCCGGUGAUCCGUGGUGCCGAGAAAAGCUUCGGCGUCAGGCGCGUUGCCGCCCGUACCCCAAACCGACACUGGUGGUCAGGUAGAGAAUACCAAAGCGAUCGAGCGAAUCCUGGUCAAGGAACUCGGCAAAUUGCUCCCGUGCCUUCGGCAUAAGGGAGACCCCCUGCGGUGAUGAGCGGCGGGGGGUGGCACAGGCCAGGGGGUAGCGACUGUUUACCAAAAACACAGGAGCGUGCGAAGGCGCAAGCCGCUGUAUACGCUCUGACGCCUGCCCGGUGCCGGAAGGUUAAGAGGAUCCGUCAGCUUUCUGCGAAGCGGUGAAUUCAAGCCCCGGUAAACGGCGGUGGUAACUAUAACCAUCCUAAGGUAGCGAAAUUCCUUGUCGGGUAAGUUCCGACCUGCACGAAUGGCGUAACGACUUCCCCACUGUCUCGACCAGGAGCUCGGCGAAAUUGCAGUACGAGUAAAGAUGCUCGUUAAGCGCAGAAGGACGAAAAGACCCCGGGACCUUUACUAUACCUUGGUAUUGGCAUUCGGUGUGGAUUGUGUAGCAUAGGCGGGAGGCCGAGAGGCGCGGUCGCCAGAUCGCGCGGAGCCGUAAGGUGAAAUACCGCUCUGUUCGCAUUGGAUGUCUAACCUCGAACAGUCAUCCUGUUCAGGGACAGUGCCUGGCGGGUAGUUUAACUGGGGCGGUUGCCUCCCAAAGAGUAACGGAGGCGCCCAAAGGUCCGCUCAGCCCGGUUGGCAAUCGGGUGGCGAGUGCAAGUGCACAAGCGGGCUUGACUGCGAGGACGACGGUCCGAGCAGGGACGAAAGUCGGGACUAGUGAUCCGGUGCCGGUGUACGGACGCGGCAUCGCUCAACGGAUAAAAGGUACCCCGGGGAUAACAGGCUGAUCAU
Molecule: ribosomal RNA, 2596 nt
Filed under: human gut metagenome
Description: bacterial LSU rRNA
Rfam family: Bacterial large subunit ribosomal RNA
Source: RNAcentral